AUACUAAUAAACAUUAUAAGCCUAGAUUAUUAAUAGAUAUAUUCUUUAAAUUUGAAGAAUUUGGCGGUAAUUUAGUCUUGUUAGAGGAACCUGUUUAUGAAUCGAUACACCACGUAAAAUCUUACUCAUUUUAUUUAGUUUAUAUACCGUCAUUAUCAGAUGAUUUUUUAAAAAAUUAAUUAUUGUAAUUUAAAAAUAAAUUAAAUUAGAUCAAGGUGUAGCUUAUGAAUGAGUUUAAAUGGGUUACAAUAAACUUUAUUUAUAAAUGGAAUAAUUAAAUCAGAAAUGAUAUUAUGAAGGAGGAUUUAAUUGUAAUGCAAGUAUAAUAAGCUUGAAAGAUAUAAGCUCUAAU
This 352-nucleotide ribosomal RNA is filed under the name Paraliomera dispar. RNAcentral's name for it is "partial 12S ribosomal RNA". The record is from RNAcentral. Lineage: Eukaryota; Metazoa; Arthropoda; Malacostraca; Decapoda; Xanthidae.